AUACGUAGGGGGCAAGCGUUAUCCGGAUUUACUGGGUGUAAAGGGAGCGUAGACGGCGAAGCAAGUCUGAAGUGAAAACCCAGGGCUCAACCCUGGGACUGCUUUGGAAACUGUUUUGCUAGAGUGUCGGAGAGGUAAGUGGAAUUCCUAGUGUAGCGGUGAAAUGCGUAGAUAUUGGGAGGAACACCAGUGGCGAAGGCGGCUUACUGGACGAUAACUGACGUUGAGGCUCGAAAGCGUGGGGAGCAAACAGGAUUAGAUACCCUGGUAGGCCACGCCGUAAACGAUGAAUGCUAGGUGUUGGGGGGCAAAGCCCUUCGGUGCCGUCGCAAACGCAGUAAGCAUUCCACCUGGGGAGUACGUUCGCAAGAAUGAA
Molecule: ribosomal RNA, 376 nt
Filed under: uncultured bacterium
Lineage: Bacteria
Description: bacterial SSU rRNA
Rfam family: Bacterial small subunit ribosomal RNA
Source: RNAcentral